UUUCGAAUGGCUGAUGAUGGCUGGUGGGCCGGGGGUGCUUCCGAAUAAAAGGUUUUUUUGGGAAUUUGCUCCUAGACUGCUCAUUUUGUGCUGGAAAUGGGUUAAUCACUCCUUAGAAAAAUCAUUCCAUUUUUUUUAUAAAAAUUAUAUCAAUAGAAGAUGGAUUAUCUUGCUGUUUGAUAUAUUGUACUGCAGUUUUGAGUGCUUUCUUUUCUCUCAAAUGAUUUUUUUUUUCUCUCUGCUCAUAUCUUUACAAAAAUAUGGAUAGUUAAAAUGAGAUCAACUAAGUAAAAGUUUAUUGUAUUUUAAACAUUCAUAUUAGACUUAAAACAUGUAAUGAUGAGCAUUUCAUGUCAUUAUGGAUAUUGAUGACAAUGAAUUUAACCCAGAAUGUCUGUCAGUUUUAUGCUACUAUGAUAGAACAGCCACAUGAAACAGUAUUGCAAUGACUGUAAAAAAUCUUGUAGUUGCCCAAAACUCAAGAUGCAAAAAAUCAAAUAUAGCAUUAGUAUCUCCCUUGGAACCCAAUGUAAAUUUGAUUAGAAAAGAAAAAAAUAAUAUAGUUUGUACAGAAUUCCUUUGUUAAACACAGAAAAUAAAAAUGAAAGCAGGUAUAUAGGCAUUACAAGAUGAUCAUCAAUAAAUAUAUUAAAAUAUAACAAGAGUAAUAUAAAAUUAAUUUGAGAAAAUAAACUUUAACACAAGAAAAUACAGAAAAAACAUUCACAUAGGAUGAGGCCAAGCUAAAAUUAUUAAGGAGAUGAUAAUAAUAAUAAUAAUAAACUUGAAAGAUCCACUUAAAAGAAAAAAAAUUUAUAUAUAUACACAAUAGCUGUUCAUUAUUAUAAAACCUGGAAAUUCCUGAUAAACUAUAAAAACUAUAUAACCUAUAUAAAUAAUAACCAUUAUAUAAGCAUUGAAUAAUAAUACAGC
This 933-nucleotide long non-coding RNA is filed under the name Androctonus crassicauda. The record is from RNAcentral. Lineage: Eukaryota; Metazoa; Arthropoda; Arachnida; Scorpiones; Buthidae.